Molecule: ribosomal RNA, 493 nt
Filed under: Halystina sp. SW-2012
Lineage: Eukaryota; Metazoa; Mollusca; Gastropoda; Seguenziida; Seguenziidae
Description: partial 16S ribosomal RNA
Rfam family: Bacterial large subunit ribosomal RNA
Source: RNAcentral
GGCUUUUUGAUAUUUUUUUAUAAAAAGUCUGACCUGCCCAGUGACUAAGGUUAAACGGCCGCGGUACCCUGACCGUGAAAAUGUAGCAUAAUCAUUUGCCUCUUAAAUGGGGGCUGGUAUGAAUGGUUUGACGAGAACUAAGCUGUCUCUUUUAAAAUAUUAAAAAAUUAACUUUUAAGUGAAGAGGCUUAAAUUUUAUUAAGGGACAAGAAGACCCUGUUGAGCUUUAGUGAUUUUUAGGGCUUAUUAUCUCCUAAAAAAAUCUUUAGUUGGGGCGACUCAGGAAUAAGUAAAACUUCCUGUAACUAGUUUGGAGACAUUCAUGUUUUGAUCCAGUAUUACUGAUUAAAGGAAAAAGUUACCAUAGGGAUAACAGCGUAAUCUUCUUGGAGAGUUCGUAUCGAAAAGUGGGUUUGCGACCUCGAUGUUGGACUAAGAUAUCCUAAGGGUGUAGAAGUUCUUAAGGGUUGGUCUGUUCGACCAUUAAAAUCUU